CGUAAGUGCUGGGUGAGUUGGCGGAGAGAUUGCCUCCAGGCAAUGGUGUGGCGGGUUACAUCCAUGUAGAAUGUCAGUUGGCGGCCUUCAAAUGCUGUGGUAGGGGAAUCUCUGGUCGCCGCCACAAUGGUACCUCUGUCAUAGUCCCAAACAAAUUUAACCUGGAUGUCUCCUGGAGGGGCUCUAUGGGCCUUAGACAAUCGAAAGC
Pelobates cultripes (western spadefoot toad) is the source of this 208-nucleotide non-coding RNA. Lineage: Eukaryota; Metazoa; Chordata; Amphibia; Anura; Pelobatidae. The record is from the annotation of a GenBank genome assembly.